Molecule: ribosomal RNA, 820 nt
Filed under: uncultured marine bacterium
Lineage: Bacteria
Description: bacterial SSU rRNA
Rfam family: Bacterial small subunit ribosomal RNA
Source: RNAcentral
AACGUACGCUGGCGGCACGCCUAACACAUGCAAGUCGAACGAAGUAGCAAUACUUAGUGGCAGACGGGUGAGUAACAUGUAGGUAUCUGCCCUUUGGCCUGGAAUAACACGAGGAAACUUGUGCUAAUACCGGAUAAGUCUUUACGGAGAAAGCUUUAUGCACCAUUGGAUGAGCCUGCACUUGAUUAGUUUGUUGGUGGGGUAAUGGCCUACCAAGACUGUGAUCAAUAGCUGAUUUGAGAGGAUGAUCAGCCACAUUGGGACUGAGACACGGCCCAAACCCCUACGGGAGGCAGCAGUGGGGAAUCUUGCACAAUGGAGGAAACUCUGAUGCAGCGAUGCCACGUGAGUGAAGAAGGCCUUUGGGUUGUAAAGCUCUUUCGUCGGGGAAGAAAAUGACUGUACCCGAAUAAGAAGGUCCGGCUAACUUCGUGCCAGCAGCCGCGGUAAUACGAAGGGACCUAGCGUAGUUCGGAAUUACUGGGCUUAAAGAGUUCGUAGGUGGUUGAAAAAGUUGGUGGUGAAAUCCCAGAGCUUAACUCUGGAACUGCCAUCAAAACUUUUCAGCUAGAGUAUGAUAGAGGAAAGCAGAAUUUCUAGUGUAGAGGUGAAAUUCGUAGAUAUUAGAAAGAAUACCAAUUGCGAAGGCAGCUUUCUGGAUCAUUACUGACACUGAGGAACGAAAGCAUGGGUAGCGAAGAGGAUUAGAUACCCUCGUAGUCCAUGCCGUAAACGAUGUGUGUUAGACGUUGGAAAUUUAUUUUCAGUGUCGCAGCGAAAGCGAUAAACACACCGCCUGGGGAGUACGACCGCAAGGUUA